RNAcentral lists this ribosomal RNA (720 nucleotides) under Morganella morganii. RNAcentral describes it as "bacterial SSU rRNA". It matches the Rfam family "Bacterial small subunit ribosomal RNA", at positions 740 to 1461 of the family's 1533-position model. Lineage: Bacteria; Pseudomonadati; Pseudomonadota; Gammaproteobacteria; Enterobacterales; Morganellaceae. The record is from RNAcentral.
CUAACGCUCAGGUCCAGAAGCGUGGGGAGCGAACCGGAUCAGAUUACCUGGUUGUGCUCGCCCUAAACGAAGUCGAUUUGGAGGUUGUGAUGUUAAGGCGUGGCUUCGGUAGCGUACGCGUUAAGUUAACCGCCUGGGGAGUGCAGUCCCAAGGCUAAAAUUCAAAUGAAUUGACGGGGCGCCGCACAAGCGGAGGAGCAUGUGGUGUAAUUUGAUGCAACGCGAAGAGCAUAACCUACUCUUGUCAUCCAAUGAACUUAACAGAGAAGAGAUGGUGCCUUCGGGAACUGUGAGACAGGUCAGGCAUGGCAGUCGUCAGCUCGUGUCGUGAAAUGUUGGGUUAAGUUCCGCAACGAGCGCAGCCCUUAUCCUUUGUUUCCAGCGCGUAAUGUAGGGAACUCAAAGGAGACUGCCGGUGAUAAACCGGAGGAAGGUGGGGAUGACGUCAAGUCAUCAUGGCCCUUACGAGUAGGGCUACACACGUGAUACAAUGGCAUAUACAAAGGGAAGCGACCUCGCGAGGGCAAGCGGAACUCAUAAAGUCAGUCGUAGUCCGGAUUGGAGUGUACUACUCGACUCCAUAAGUGGGAAUCGCUAGUAUUGGUAGAUCAGUCAGUACGGUGAAUACGUUACCGGGCGGGUACACACCCCCGUCACUCCAUGGCAGUGGAUUGCAUAAGAAGUGAGGUAACGUAGCCUACAGGAAGGCGGCUUACCACU